AAACAUGCCAAAAAAACCCCAUCCUUUGUUGCCCCCUCCCAUCGAUCCCAUCUACUCCCGCCGACGCCGUCCGAGGGGGAGACAACGCCGCCGCCACCUCUGCAAGGCAGGGCGGUUUGAUUCCCGCCCCUGCAGCCUCUGCAAGGAAGGGCGGUACUGCACUUCGUCGGUACCGAAGGGGCACCCUGCCGCGGCUGGGGACUCGCCGCCACUCUCCUAUCUCUCACCGCGCACCUUCCCCGGCCAAGGAGCGCCCCAACCUUGCCAUGUCACUCGUGUGGCUCCCAUGGCGCCGCCCGCAUAGCUCCUUGCGCCGCCGGUAAUGACGCCCGCCUCCACCACAACUCCUCUGCCUGCGCCCCCAUGUGUCUGAGAUCCAGGUACUCAUCACUGUCGAUCCCCAGUGGGAGAGGCCCCCGCCUUCCUCUCCUCCUGCGUGGUGGCCGAUGGCCGCAGUUGACGGCGCUCCUGCGAGCGGGAGACACGAGUGCGGCGCAGGCAGUGACCAAGAGUGAUGAGGCAGCCCCCGGCCGCCUGGGGGCGGUUCUUUCACGUGCUGUAGACCAUGCCAUUCUGCUAUGACGAGGAUGUGCUCCGAUUACGUGGUUAAUACUAUCACAAUGCAAUAACUGGGAAGAUUACAGAGGGAAGGGACAAUAUGUAAGAUGGGGCAAGGAGGCUGGCUUCUCAUGACGACUUCAUAUAUGAUGCAACACUUAAGAGCUACUACAAAGCUUUUUUUUAGGAAGCUACUACAAAACUUUUUUUUUCAAAAGCUACUAUAAAGCUUUUGUUCAGCAAAUACCAUGACAAGAGCUUGAAGAUUUCAAAGAUACAAAGGGUUAGCAGAAAGAGGAUACACUGAUUUCAUCUGCUGCACUUAAGAGUCGAGUCUCUCUGUAACAGGUGCUGGAAUUCCUUGUAGUGGAGUGAAAACAAUUGUCUCUACGCAUGCAACAGCAAGGUGGGAAGUUGUAAUUAUUGUAGGACUUAUUUUCUGAAAGUUGAAGGGAGGUACUACGCAAGUUACAGGCUUUCAAUUCAGCAUGAAACCAAGACACGUGAUAUAUUGGUAAAACAGUUAGGGUGUGAUGAUUCAUGAACAAAAUAUUCAGAAAAUUUGUUGAAUCAUUUAAGGAGCAAGAACAACAAGUAUGUGCUGAAAAAUUAUUUCCCAUGGUUUCUUCACUCUUGGUUAAGGGAUUCUGGCACAUUCCCAAAGUAGCAACUUGUCAAGGGUUCGGGUCGGAACAAAAUUCAAUAUAUGCUGAUGUAUGGAAGAAAAGCAUAUGAAGUUACAGAAGUGGAUUAUUCUCUAUCGUGAACAAAACAUUAUUUGCUUCCCCAACUAUGAUUAAAUCAUCGGUGCAUGGAUUCACUUAACUCACUUGGAUUAUCUGUAGUUGACCCUCCAUUUAGCCAUAGAAAACUUGUUAAUUAUAAAAUAUUUACUUCCUUUUAAAGCAAUUAAUGUAUAGUUGUUCUUACUAUAUUAUCCUCUAUUUUUCUCAGUAUUUCAGAGAGUGUCAUGUGAGUUCAACAUUACUUGUCUAGAGGUAAUUGUCAAAAUUAGCCUCCCGAGUUUGCUUGUGUCACUCAUGGUAUUUGUUGAAGUAUAAAAGGUGUUGAUUUUACUGAUUACAAUACGAAAACUAACAAAAUGAUGAUUCAGUUGAAGUUUUUGUGUCCUAUGGAAUUAAUUGUCUAUAUCUCUGUAUAAUUUUAUACUAUAAAUUUUGGCACUCCAAUUUAAAAAGUGAAGCACUUCACAAUUAUGUGUGAUGUUUCAAGCAGAAUUGAGAUUAGCGAAUAUUUUUCUGCAAAAGAAAAGCAUGCAUGACUUGGAAACUAUGAGAUUUCUUAUCAGAAUUACUGCCAGAUCUACGGAUAUUUUUCCUAAAGAGCAAAACCAUAGUUGAUUUACUGAAUUCAAAUAACGGCAUGCAAGUGUGGUUCUAUAUCAAAUAGCUUUUGCAUUUGACAAAAGCAGAAUAAAUGGGAUUCUUACCAUACAAAAAGGUUAAAGCCAGAAUAAAUGAAAAUGUUGGUAUUCAAAACUUUGUAUUCAAGUCCAACUUAGGGGUUCAUAGACUUGCAAAAAAAUAUAUUCUUGAUAGAAGUUGGCUCCAUGAAUUUACAGGCUAAUAUGCAAUCUUGAGCUAUUAUUGUUCUGUAUAUUCUGAGGUGUAGCACCCACUCAUCCUUGUUACAAGGGAUGUAUCUAGAUGGUAAUUUCAUAGAUGGUUUGGUAGACUACGAAAUUUUUCACAAUCUUGGCACGCAUUUGUAUUUAAGCCUAUAUUGACCAAAUGUGUGAUGUGAUAAGAAAAAUACAGCAUGUAAGGGUGUGGAUGAAUUCAAACAUUUUUACUCCCUCCAUCGCUGUUUAUAAGUCUUGCACGUGUAUCUAGAUCAUCAAUUUAACUUAUAUAGAAUAAAUUGUUUAACAUAAAAAUUAUAUCAUUAGAAAAUAAAAUAUCUAAAGUUUCUAAUGAUAUACUUUUUGUAAUGUAUGCCUCUUAUUAAGUUGGUCAUAUUAAUGACCUAGGUACACGUGUAAGACGUGUAAACUCAGAUGGAGAGAGUACUAGGGAUAAGAAUGAGUGGCUCCAUUAGUACUAGGGAUAAGGUUAGUAAAAAAGAAAGAAACAUUGGUGGUGUGUGAUCCAACAUGAAACGACACGCGGCGUGACCGGUCGGCCGAGUUGAAUCGUUUUGCAUUCAACUACUGGUUGCUUGGUUCCAGCAACAAUUUUUGAGUGUCAAUAACAUAUUAUUGUGUUUGAUAGUAUGAUGUGUGUUAGCUGAUUGUAAAAAAAAUGUGUGUUAGUUAAGAUGUGCAUUGUUCUCGGUUGCUUGUCAUUUUGUUUCUUCAAAAGCCCGUGGCAACGCAUAGGCGUUCUACUAGUAGUGUGAAUUUGCCAGUACAUUCAAUGUAUUGACCCUUUGUGGCUGCAACGUCUCAUG
Molecule: RNA transcript, 2967 nt
Organism: Triticum dicoccoides
Lineage: Eukaryota; Viridiplantae; Streptophyta; Magnoliopsida; Poales; Poaceae
Exons: 6
Source: RefSeq, a predicted model, not a curated record